AUUGAACGCUGGCGGCAUGCCUUACACAUGCAAGUCGAACGGCAGCACGGGAGCAAUCCUGGUGGCGAGUGGCGAACGGGUGAGUAAUAUAUCGGAACGUGCCCAGUCGUGGGGGAUAACGUAGCGAAAGCUACGCUAAUACCGCAUACGAUCUAUGGAUGAAAGCGGGGGAUCGCAAGACCUCGCGCGAUUGGAGCGGCCGAUAUCAGAUUAGGUAGUUGGUGAGGUAAAGGCUCACCAAGCCGACGAUCUGUAGCUGGUCUGAGAGGACGACCAGCCACACUGGGACUGAGACACGGCCCAGACUCCUACGGGAGGCAGCAGUGGGGGAAUUUUUGGACAAUGGGCGCAAGCCUGAUCCAGCAAUGCCGCGUGCAGGAUGAAGGCCUCGGUUGUAACGUAG
RNAcentral lists this ribosomal RNA (403 nucleotides) under uncultured bacterium. RNAcentral's name for it is "bacterial SSU rRNA". It matches the Rfam family "Bacterial small subunit ribosomal RNA", at positions 30 to 432 of the family's 1533-position model. The record is from RNAcentral.